This 2117-nucleotide unclassified non-coding RNA is filed under the name Amphibalanus amphitrite. RNAcentral describes it as "inositol hexakisphosphate kinase 1-like, transcript variant X2". The record is from RNAcentral. Lineage: Eukaryota; Metazoa; Arthropoda; Thecostraca; Balanomorpha; Balanidae.
CGAAUGCCUCGAUUCACAAAAAUAACAUUGCAUUGCAAUCCGGCGUUAAUCGAAGUUUUGGAUUUUUUAAAGGAUUUUUUUAAUAUAGGUGAAAUAUCACUUCAAACUACGUUUUCGUUCGCAGCUGUUUUGUGUGCGCAUCGUCUUUGCGCAUGGAACUAUUGACGCCUGAGUUGUGUCGUCACUGUCACUGAUCCACCUCCGCAGCCCACUGUAGUCUCACGGGGAAACUCGGGCUGUGUUGCUGGAUUAUAUGAUCGACUACAGCAUCCGAUGUACCUGAGAAGGCAUGGCGGAGGAACGGUCAUCAGAGCCAGUCCAUCUGGAGCCCUUCAUUCACCAGGUGGGCGGGCACAGUCACAUGUUCUCUCUUGACGAGAUCACUGUGUGCAAGCCGCUCAUCACCAGAGAACUCCACUUCUAUGAGAGUAUGCCUGACCAAAUGAAACAAUUUGCACCAGAGUACAAGGGGGUCAUUGAGGUGAACUUUGUGGAAGAUGCAGAUGGCUAUGUUACCCUCGUAGCUUACCCACCCAAAAGCUAUGAACGCAAAUUGUCCGUACAACGCAGCGAAUCCAAAUCGAAACGAAGUCGUAUCCGGAUGCGUCCGUCGGGCAGUCUGGAGAUCGAAGGUGAACAGAAACAGCCACAGGUGUUCGAGGAGGCCGAGCCGCGCGGUGACGAGGCCGCCGCCGGUCACGUGCCGCACAACCCGUGGCUGCUGCGCUGCGACCGGAACCAGCUCACCCAGCUGGCGGCGGGCGCGCUGGGCUCGGGCUCCAGUGGCGGUGGCAGCUCCAGCCACCGUGCAGCGCCACCACAGAAGUACAUCCUUCUGGAGAACUUGACGCACAAGUACCAGUACCCAUGUGUACUGGACCUGAAGAUGGGCACCCGGCAGUACGCCGACGACGACUCGGCCGCCAAGCAGCAGCGGAAGAAGGCCAAGGUGGCCACCACUACCUCUUCCACCCUCGGAGUCCGCAUCAACGGCAUGCAGGUGUACCAGGUAAACCUUUCUCGCUUCAUCUGCCGAAACAAAUACUAUGGCCGCAAGCUGACAGUGGACGGCUUCAAACAAGCACUGUGUCAGUUUAUCCACAACGGCACCACGCUGCGCACGGACCUCCUCCCAGCCAUGAUCGCGCGCCUCUCGGAACUGCGGAGCGUGCUGCAGCGCCAGCACUCGUUCCGUUUCUUCACCUCCUCCCUGCUGGUCAUCUAUGACGGCCAGGAAGCGAUGCACGACCAGCCGGAGCGAUCCGCACGAGGAGACGUCGACGUGAGGAUGAUCGACUUCGCGCACGCGACGCACCAAAACUUUGACGACCCGGUGCAGCACAGUGGGCCCGACCAGGGCUUCAUAUUCGGCGUGGAGAGUCUGAUCUCGAUGCUGAAAACUGUGUUGCAGGAGUACGGGUAGUGGCGAGCGGUGCGGCUCGAAGGCAGUACAAAGCUGGGACGGCGGCAGCGCGGCCCGCGACAAAUUCUCAGUGACUGCUGUUCGGCGGCGAACGGACGGCUGGUGGGAGACGAAAGGUGACCGGCGGCGCGCACCACACAUCGGGCGAGCGAAUCGAACGCACCGAGCGAGCCGUAGAGACCGGGGACGGUCCUGUAGGAACUGACUGACACUGGUGGCGGGCGACGGACGGACGUAGGCAGACAGCGGACGCGGGCGACCGUCUCGCGGCGGCGCGGGCGCCAGCUCGAGUUUUGGACGCCCACCGGCGGCGCCGGUCGCCUCCGCAAGUGCAAUUACCGAUCGUAGCUGUGAUGGUGUUAUGUUCCCGUCGCAGUGCGGCGCCGUGCGCGCGUGCAGUCUCUUGUAUCGGAGCGAGUCAGUGAGCGAUGUGAGAGUGACCGGCGCGGGACCUGCCGCGACAGGAGCGCGCGGAGGUGAUUCGUGACCAGUGUGCGGUGCGUCAGACGGCGCAUUGUACUGAGCCGCGACGGCCCGACGGCCGGCGCUCUAAGUUAUUCGUGAAGGGCGGCAGAGUUGUCGGUGGUGGGAGCGCGCUGUCCUGCCGGGCGCGCCCCGAUACUAUGGCAGACGCGCUGAGGAGACCACAGUGGAGACGUGCGGACACGUCCCAAAUAAAUUGUCCGUCGAAUUC